This 1078-nucleotide long non-coding RNA is filed under the name Sus scrofa (pig). RNAcentral's name for it is "lncRNA (ENSSSCG00040010591.1)". The record is from RNAcentral. Lineage: Eukaryota; Metazoa; Chordata; Mammalia; Artiodactyla; Suidae.
CCAGGCCAGACAAAGGCUCUGUGUCGGCCCAGCUGCGCGGGGCGGUAUUUACGGCGGCCGGGAGUUUAAGAAAACAGGGGCCUUCCAUCCACGGGCGAGCGCGGCCGGCGGGGGAAGCCCGGAGCUAAUUAAAUCUGCGCGGCCGGGGCCACAGAGGCCGAUUGUGCAGCGAGAGGAUGUUAACGCGCAUUUUAAAUAUUUAGUGUAACCGAGGAACUGGAGACUUUGAAGAAAUCGUGGAUCCGGGGCCGGGCAGGGAAGGACCAGGACUGGCUGAAGGGUCCCGAGCCAGGAGGAAAUGGGGUGCUCACAGACGCAAAGUCCCGCCCCGCAGAAACGUAUUAACUGCGGAGAGCGAAGCUUACCUUUGCCGCAGGGAACCCGGGCAGAUCUUCCUUCAUCAAAUGGCCAAAUCAGACCAGGCCCCCACGCCCUGUGGGACCCCUCCAGGACCCAGCGUCCCCUCCGGGACGUCCCCGGAUGACCAGCCCCUCCCGCAGCAAACACAGCAAACCACGCGCGCGCGGAGCAGCAGGCAGCCGCCAGCGACGGCCGUUCUGGAGAACGACCCGUUGUCCCGGCGAGGGUCGAGGUCGUGCCAGGCGAGGACAGGUCACUCCAGGCUGAAGGACAUUAAAGGGACGUGAGAAAGGACCUUUCCCAGCCCUCCUUGUCCAGCAGGGCCACCCAACCACUGCCACUCCGGGCCUUCCUGGGCGCUGCCUCCCCACCAAGUGACAGCAGGUACUCACCCGACCACACGAUGCCGUGGCCAGGCCACCGGAGGGAAGCCCCCCCAUCCCCGGAGGAGAGUCCCAUAGGAGGAGGCCCCCGUCCCCGUGGCCCAGAACUCACCUUGGAUUCUGCUCAGCUGUUGCAGCAGCUACUGUCUUCGGCUGGAGGAUCCCGGGGCCCAGGCGUCUGAAGGCUGGUGGCGCCCACGGGUGUGCGUGCGUUGCACACGUGCUCAGGACCACCCGUGCCCCUGCACAUAGGAGCCCAGCUCCCAGGCUCAGGACCCAGUGGGGCCAGCGCUGUGGGGAGGUGCCCACCCUGGAGGGCUCGGAUGGUCCGAGUG